GACGAACGCUGGCGGCGUGCCUAACACAUGCAAGUCGAACGGAACUGUUUUGAAAGAUUUCUUCGGAAUGAAUUUGAUUUAGUUUAGUGGCGGACGGGUGAGUAACGCGUGAGUAACCUGCCUUCAAGAGGGGAAUAACAUUCUGAAAAGAAUGCUAAUACCGCAUGACAUAUCGGAACCACAUGGUUUUGAUAUCAAAGAUUUUAUCGCUUGAAGAUGGACUCGCGUCCGAUUAGUUAGUUGGUGAGGUAACGGCUCACCAAGACCGCGAUCGGUAGCCGGACGGAGAGGCUGAACGGCCACAUUGGGACUGAGACACGGCCCAGACUCCUACGGGAGGCAGCAGUGGGGGAUAUUGCGCAAUGGGGGCAACCCUGACGCAGCAACGGCGCGUGAAGGAUGAAGGUUUUCGGAGUGUAAACUUCUUUUAUUAAGGACGAAAAAUGACGGUACUUAAUGAAUAAGCUCCGGCUAACUACGUG
RNAcentral lists this ribosomal RNA (482 nucleotides) under uncultured bacterium. RNAcentral's name for it is "partial 16S ribosomal RNA". It matches the Rfam family "Bacterial small subunit ribosomal RNA", at positions 28 to 507 of the family's 1533-position model. The record is from RNAcentral.